Molecule: non-coding RNA, 1386 nt
Organism: Pelodiscus sinensis (Chinese soft-shelled turtle)
Lineage: Eukaryota; Metazoa; Chordata; Testudines; Trionychidae
Source: RefSeq, a predicted model, not a curated record
UCAUGCCAUGUCUCAUGGAGAUGUCUGCCUCACCAAAGGUACUGACUGAUGGAAACAAUACAAAAGGAAAAUGCAAGGAAUUUAAAAAUUGAGGAACGCAAAGAAGAAGAGGAGCUGAUUGGACUGUAAAUGGUCUAGCUGAAGAGUGACCAGCCUAUGGUUCAUGGGACAUAUAUGACCCAUGAGAGUAUUUCAGGAGGUACUAGAUGUUCCAGAUGUACCAUAGUACCAACAGCAUGAAUUAAGAAGGGCUUUUUCAGCUAAAAGGCAUCUGCUACCACAAUUAAGAAAACCCUGCUUCUAGGGAGAAGACAUGUUCUUUUUGUAAACAAACAGAGAAUAAAGUUUGUGGUCAGCUCUACCAGGAAAGGCCUAACAGAACAGUUUAUGAACACACUGAAUGUGAAUAAAAUAGAGCUUCAAGCCUGCCAUGGCCAGCAUGAAAAGGAAUGGAAGAAACAGUGGCACCCAGUGAAGGAUCCUUGCACUGAACCCGAGAGCUUUCUUCGUGCCUUCUAAUUGACAUUCCCUCGAUCUAGUUGCGUCAGAUGUAGCAUCGUCUCUGCUGGCUUCAGUAUCUCUAUUUGGUACUGCAGUGGAUGGAUAUAUGACCUGUUUUCAGCAUCAAUCAUCAGGUGGGAGAUCAGAGACAACAUUACAAAUUUGACCACGAAAGAAACACUUGCUGGGAGAGAUACAGUGGUAGUGUAAGGCCAGUGAGGUUCCAAGUGAUUGAGGUUUAUGACACCUUGAAGGAACUGGCACAGUCAAGUAAAGCCAAGGACAAAAUCCAAGACAGAGGCACAGAUCCAAGAAAAUCAGAUCACUGACUUUAAAUUCCUGGUCUCAGUUGGGUGUAAGCAAGGCACUACAAACUCAGUUGGAUGGUCAUUGUGACCAUUACUACCUUUGAAGAGAAGCUGUCUUGAUUUCAUUGUGGCCUACAAAAACAAUGGAUUUGAAGAUGUCAUUGUAGCCAAAGAAAUGGUGGAAAAUUUAAGAGUUGAGCCUGUCUUCAAGGAAACUUGUAUUCAUCAGAAAAUACAAUUUGGUUAUAAGGGCAAAAAGGAGGUGACGGAAAACUUGGAAGAAAAAUUCAAGGGAGACUUUUUUGAUUGCUCAUUUAUGCUGCUUGAGUACCUGCUAUGGGGCAGCACUCACCCCCACAAGUAGCCUCCAGUUGGUCACUCUAGGGAACUACCUCUUCAACCCUAGAGUGCCCUUUCCUCCUAGUACUGCCCUAGGGCAGUGCCCCUGCACUCUAGGGUCCUCCCCUCCCAGGGAACUCCCCAAACCACUAACCCCACCUUGCCUCAGUGACCCACUGUCAGUCAUCAUCUAGCUCCUCACCUCAAGGGCAAACUGCAAUCUGAAAUGGCCACUCAU